Helianthus annuus (common sunflower) is the source of this 1212-nucleotide long non-coding RNA. RefSeq lists it as uncharacterized. NCBI's taxonomy places the organism in Eukaryota, Viridiplantae, Streptophyta, Magnoliopsida, Asterales, Asteraceae. The record is from RefSeq and is a predicted model, not a curated record. The transcript is spliced from 7 exons.
UUGUCGAGCGUUGAGGGAUUGGAUUUGAAUGGGCGUAGCGGCUGCGGCUUCACUUGGCGCCCUAAUCGUAUACUGCGUCACUUAUCAUCUUCCACAAAUCUGCUAUUUUAGCCAUUGUGUCAUCAAAAAAGACAAUGGGCUAACAAUCUGCUUGGGUUUACGGCUGGUGAAUCUUUGAAACCAGAACACCUCUGUAUCUCGGUGCUGUAAAAUUAUGCUUUCUUCUUCUUCUUCCAACGACAAUCGAUUCACCGGAGAUCCUGCUGCUAAUCUCCCUCGCACCUUCAAAUAAUUAUUAGGAGAGAGCUAUUGUGUUUGCAUUGUCUCAGAUUGCAUAUGGAGCUUGUAUUUUCUUGUGCUAUUGGGGUUAUCUUCUCCUUCUGCAUGGAUAUAAAACUUCCGUUCUCUUUCCUUUCAGGGUAGGAAACUACGAUAAACAACUCUAAAAAAUGCGCACGUGAUCACCCUUUAGUCGUUCCAGAAAUUGAUUCAGCAAGAAGGAGAAAAGUUGGUCCUUGUGUAACCACACACCAUAUAACCAAGCUGUAUAUGGACUCGUAGACAAAUUAGGUAGCUUGGUUGUGAGAUUGGUGUUGCUACCUUUCGACGAAAGCUAGUACGCAACAUUUGGAAGGUCUGCAUCAGGAGAAGAUGUACAGAAGAAAAGGAAAUUACAGACUUAUCUAAGAGAUGCUUUGAAGCUUGUUAUGUUAGUCGGAUUGGUGUUUUAUGGCAUUUGGGCCCAGCUAUUCUUACUCUCUCAUAAGAGUGUUUUAUGGUCGUAAAUGGAGUGAUGGAGAAGCAAUUGCAGCUCUAAAAUAUUACUGUUUGUAUGAUUCUCCGUCUUUUUUACUUCCACGACUGUUUACCUGGUGGUUGGACAAUUUUGUUAUUUCAAGUGCAGUGACUCUUGUUUCCGGAAAAAGUAUUUCUGGACCGCGAUAACUUCUGGCCAACAUUUUGCGUUCACUUUUUCAAUGGAUUCACUAGCUUCUACUUACCAAACACUUGUAACAUAUGCCUAUUAGAACUUCAAAGAACAAAAUCACAUCCGAACACUAUCUCCUAUAACUCGUUAUUACAACCCAUUUCUGGUUCUAAUUAUUCAUGAUCAUGUAAACACUUUCAAAACGCACAUCCAAACACACCUUAAUUGUCACCAAAGAAGUGCUGUUAACCGCCCUGGUUAAUUUAAUAUUUUUUGUUUGUUUA